Molecule: ribosomal RNA, 486 nt
Filed under: uncultured bacterium
Lineage: Bacteria
Description: partial 16S ribosomal RNA
Rfam family: Bacterial small subunit ribosomal RNA
Source: RNAcentral
GACGAACGCUGGCGGCGUGCUUAACACAUGCAAGUCGAACGAGGCCCAUCCAGUAGCAAUACUGGGGAAGGCCUAGUGGCGAACGGGUGAGUAACACGUGAGAAACCUGCCCUGGUCUCCGGGAUAACAGGCGGAAACAACUGCUAAUACCGGAUGCCGUCGGAGCCUCGCCUGGGGCGCUGACGAAAGGGUCCACUGGACCAGGAGGGUCUCGCGACCUAUCAGCUUGUUGGUGGGGUAACGGCCUACCAAGGCAUCGACGGGUAGCUGGUCUGAAAGGAUGAUCAGCCACACUGGGACUGAGACACGGCCCAGACUCCUACGGGAGGCAGCAGUGGGGAAUCUUGCGCAAUGGGCGAAAGCCUGACGCAGCAACGCCGCGUGCGGGAUGAAGGCCUUCGGGUUGUAAACCGCUUUCAGAAGGAACGAAACUGACGGUACUUUCAGAAGAAGGUGCGGCCAACUACGUGCCAGCCGCCGCCGUAA